This 838-nucleotide ribosomal RNA is filed under the name uncultured bacterium. Its description in RNAcentral is "bacterial SSU rRNA". It matches the Rfam family "Bacterial small subunit ribosomal RNA", at positions 542 to 1381 of the family's 1533-position model. The record is from RNAcentral.
UNUCCGGAUUUAUUGGGCGUAAAGCGAGCGCAGGCGGUUAGAUAAGUNUGAAGUUAAAGGCUGUGGCUUAACCAUAGUACGCUUUGGAAACUGUUUAACUUGAGUGCAAGAGGGGAGAGUAGAAUUCCAUGUGUAGCGGUGAAAUGCGUAGAUAUAUGGAGGAACACCGGUGGCGAAAGCGGCUCUCUGGCUUGUAACUGACGCUGAGGCUCGAAAGCGUGGGGAGCAAACAGGAUUAGAUACCCUGGUAGUNCACGCCGUAAACGAUGAGUGCUAGGUGUUAGACCCUUUCCGGGGUUUAGUGCCGCAGCUAACGCAUUAAGCACUCCGCCUGGGGAGUACGACCGCAAGGUUGAAACUCAAAGGAAUUGACGGGGGCCCGCACAAGCGGUGGAGCAUGUGGUUUAACUCGAAGCAACGCGAAGAACCUUACCAGGUCUUGACAUCCCUCUGACCGCUCUAGAGAUAGAGUUUUCCCUCGGGACAGAGGUGACAGGUGGUGCAUGGUUGUCGUCAGCUCGUGUCGUGAGAUGUUGGGUUAANNNNCGCAACGAGCGCAACCCCUAUUGUUAGUUGCCAUCAUUCAGUUGGGCACUCUAGCGAGACUGCCGGUAAUAAACCGGAGGAAGGUGGGGAUGACGUCAAAUCAUCAUGCCCCUUAUGACCUGGGCUACACACGUGCUACAAUGGCUGGUACAACGAGUCGCAAGCCGGUGACGGCAAGCUAAUCUCUUAAAGCCAGUCUCAGUUCGGAUUGUAGGCUGCAACUCGCCUACAUGAAGUCGGAAUCGCUAGUAAUCGCGGAUCAGCACGACGCGGUGAAUACGUUCCCGGGCCU